UUGUGUCUGUAUGCCUUUGUAUUGGAGGAAUAUCCCAUGAGCCAACUUGUCAUGCACCCCUAACUCUGAGCCCCGCACCUGCAGCUGGAGGCAGCCUCCUGCUUAGCUUGCUGUGCAGUGACAGGCUGGCGAUACUGUCACCAAGCCGUACUCAGAAACAGACAGAGAAAACCUUUUUAGAACCGGGGCAAGCCAUGAGGAGCAGAGAGGAUUUAUGUGCCAACCAUGGCUUGCAAACUCCCAACAUGAGCACCUGCUGUUGACACUCGGAGAUCCAUCCUGAAAACAAAUUCAAAGUGACGAGGAGUUCAUCAGAAUAGGAGCACGAUUUUGUUAAUAUUUCUUAAAAUGGUAACUCUGACCAACUACAUCUACUUUUAACCAGGGUUUAAAAAAAUAUUUUUACAUACACAAGGGCCAUUUUUACAGUGCCAUAGUAAAACAAAAGAAAGCCCAGCCUCUUCCUUAAACCAACAACACUAAAUUCAGUCAGAGCCUCAAGCAGCCUCCACUCUCUAAGAGGUCCAUACGACACAGCUACAAAUGCAGACUAGGACUAUGGAUCUCCAACCCACUCUUUAAAGUUGUUAUUUCAAUGCUUCAACUUUAAAUAGCCAAGAUGAAAUGGGCAUUCCGUUGAAAAGGAAGAGUUGACCGGUGGUAGAAUGAAGGUGGAGACCGCAUCGGAAUACUCAUGUUGAUCUAACGGCUUAUUUAUUUAUUUGGGAGUUAGUUACCCAUUCUGUUCUUUCAGAGUGGGACUGCAUCAUGAUAAUUUUCAAGCUUGAAAUGAUUGACUUAGAAAAGAAGAGAGAUACCAGGUUGCCUAGAGAGUGAUAUGUGUACUUGGACAUACAACCCUAGAGCAUGUGUGUGCAGAUACAGGUGUGUCUAAGCAGCAGCGCUGCUACCUCUCUUUUGUGAUGUCACUGCUUACUGUUGGGCUUGAUACUACAGACUAGGUGUGAACGCAAAAAUUUUCAGCCUCCUUUUUUAUCAGGAUUUUUUACUGUUUUUCAAACUCAAAACACAAAACAAAAACAACAACAACAACAAACCCUUAAGAAAUGUAGCAUCUAAACCAUGGAAGUUUUCCAGUGGAAAUAUUCUUUGUCCAUUUUUUCAGCAUGCUUUCUUACCAUACAAAUUAUGCCUCACGACAACUAAGAUGCAACAGACAAGGGGUCUAUCAUGCUUCGGUUGCAUAUUUUCCCAUAAACCUAGUGGUAUUUAUGAGCCCUGGGAGUCUCGCUGGCUGAGCUGUACACCUGUUGAAAUAAGAAUGCAGGCUCCCAAGAAGAUUCUCUUGAUUUGAAAAAUAACAGUUCAUGCUAUCAUCCACAGUGAAGAAAAUUAUACUGUGACAUUUUAGACUGGAUGAUAUCGGGAAUCCAUGAAGGUAACAGCACUUGGGUGUUUACAAGGACAAUAUUUCUUCCCAAAUGCAAACAGAGAUUUGCUUUGAACCACAAAAAGCCAUUAACCAUGUUGGUCCAAAAUUUUCUCUGAACCUUUUUUUUUUAACUUAUUUUAUUUUUAAUAAAGUGGGGCAGGAUGGGGAAGGGGACAUAUGCAGAAGAUGCAGGUGCCCACAGAAGUUAAAAGAAGGUGUCUGAUACCCUGGAGCUAGGGUUACAGCUGGUUUUGAAGCACCUCACACCAGUGCUGGGAAUGACUUCCACAGUAGCCCUCAUUCCUCCUUUUAAGGGGAGCAGGGGCUGUCUCUGGCAUGAACUCAGUGGCAGCUCUCCGGUCACCUUCCCCUGAAGGAUGCAGCCUUGAGAAGCCACAGAGGAAGACAAUGCAGCCAGUCCUGAUGAGACCUGAUAGGCUAGGAUCAGAUGGAAGGGGAGGAGGAACCUCCCCUAUCAUUGGAUUGGG
Long non-coding RNA from Meriones unguiculatus (Mongolian gerbil), 1881 nucleotides. RefSeq lists it as uncharacterized. The transcript is spliced from 3 exons. Lineage: Eukaryota; Metazoa; Chordata; Mammalia; Rodentia; Muridae. The record is from RefSeq and is a predicted model, not a curated record.